GGGGGGGGGGGGGGGGGGGGGGGGUGGGGGGGGGGGGGGCGCGGGGGCGGGGGGCGUGCGCCUCGGACGUUCGCGGCGGACGGGUGAGUAACGCGUGGAUACCCUGCCUAUAACACGGGGAUAGCUUCGGGAAACCGGAGCUAAUACCUCAUCCUAUCUUCAACCGCAUGGUUCAAUAGUUAACGACUGUUUUGCUGUCCCUUAUAGAUGCAUCCCCGCCGCAUUAGCUCGUUGGUAAGUUAACGGCUUACCAAGGCAACGAUGCGUAGCCGACCUGAGAGGGUGAUCGGCCACACUGGAACUGAGACACGGUCCAGACUCCUACGGGAGGCAGCAGUAGGGAAUCUUCCGCAAUGGGCGAAAGCCUGACGGGGCAACGCCGCGUGAGUGAUGAAGGUCUUCGGAUCGUAAAACUCUGUUAUUAGGGAAGAACAAAUGUGUAAGUAACUAUGCACGUCUUGACGGUACCUAAUCAGAAAGCCACGGCUAACUACGUG
Molecule: ribosomal RNA, 497 nt
Filed under: uncultured bacterium
Lineage: Bacteria
Description: partial 16S ribosomal RNA
Rfam family: Bacterial small subunit ribosomal RNA
Source: RNAcentral